AAAUAGAGUGUUUGGUAAAUUUAGAUGUUAAUGAAAAUAUUCUUUAAAUUUUUUUUGUAGAUUAAUUAUUAUCGAAAUAUAUAAAAUGUUUUAACUGUAGAGGAUAAUUAAAUUAUGUUUUAGUAAAAAUUAAUCGUUGUACCUUUUGUAUCAGGGUUUAUUAAAUUAAUUAAUAAAUUUUAAAUUCCCGAAAGGAGAUGAGCUACAUAAGUAUCUUUUUUUUGUUGCAUAAAUUAAAAUAAUAUUUAUAUAGAAAUGAGAUGUUAUCGGAUUUCUUGAUAUCUGGUUCCAAAUAAACUUUUAGGGGGGAAAUAAAUUUUAUAAAAUUUAUUUUAUUUUAGUUGGGGUAAGCUCAGUUAAAUUUUUAUAUAUAUUUAAUAGUGUAAUUAAAGGAGGUUUGAUAGUGACUUUUUGUUUAGUAACAGAGUUAAAAGUGGGGUAUAUUAAUUUAAUAUUUGGUGUAAUUAGAAAUUUUUUUGUUUAUAGACAAUGAUAUAAUUAGUAGAAUUGUUUAAUUUUUGUUAAUAAAGUAUUUGGAUAAAGUGAUUUAAAGAGAAAAAUUUAAAAGGAACUCGGCAAAAGAUUUUUUGAACUGUUUAUCAAAAACAUUUUUCUAAGAAGAGAUUUUAGAGUAUCCCCUGCCCUAUGUUCUAUUGGAAUAAAAGGCCGCAGUAGCCUGACUGUGCUAAGGUAGCAUAAUCAUUUGGGUUUUAAUUGGGCUCUGGUAUGAAGGGGGGAAUCAAAAAAANNUGUCUUUAGAUUAAUUUUGAAUUUAAAUUUUUAGUAAAAAUGCUAGAAUUGAAUAGUGGGACGAUAAGACCCUAUAAAGCUUUAUUAUGUAGGUAUUUAUUUAAUAUGCUUUUUUAAAUAUUAAAAUAAUUUAACUGGGGCGGUUAUCAAAUUAUCUUGAUUGAUCAAUUUUUAUAUAAUGAUCCAUUAUUAAUGAGAAUAAGAUUAAGUUACUUUAGGGAUAACAGGAUAAAGUAUUUUUGGAGCUCUAAUCGAAGAAUACAUAUGUUACCUCGAUGUUGAAUUAAUAUAUUUGUAAGGUGGAGAAACUUUAUUAAUUAGUCUGUUCGACUAUUGAAUAAUUACAUGAUUUGAGUUCAAACCGGUUUAAGCCAGGUUGG
RNAcentral lists this ribosomal RNA (1130 nucleotides) under Krusa mexicana. RNAcentral's name for it is "partial 16S ribosomal RNA". The record is from RNAcentral. Lineage: Eukaryota; Metazoa; Arthropoda; Arachnida; Opiliones; Sclerosomatidae.